UACGUAGGGUGCGAGCGUUGUCCGGAAUUAUUGGGCGUAAAGGGCUCGUAGGCGGUUUGUUGCGUCGGGAGUGAAAACAUCCAGCUUAACUGGGUGCUUGCUUUCGAUACGGGCAGACUUGAGGUAUGCAGGGGAGAAUGGAAUUCCUGGUGUAGCGGUGAAAUGCGCAGAUAUCAGGAGGAACACCGGUGGCGAAGGCGGUUCUCUGGGCAUUACCUGACGCUGAGGAGCGAAAGUGUGGGGAGCGAACAGG
RNAcentral lists this ribosomal RNA (253 nucleotides) under uncultured bacterium. Its description in RNAcentral is "partial 16S ribosomal RNA". It matches the Rfam family "Bacterial small subunit ribosomal RNA", at positions 524 to 776 of the family's 1533-position model. The record is from RNAcentral.